RNAcentral lists this long non-coding RNA (2006 nucleotides) under Anas platyrhynchos platyrhynchos (common mallard). RNAcentral describes it as "lncRNA (ENSAPLG00000017832.1)". The record is from RNAcentral. Lineage: Eukaryota; Metazoa; Chordata; Aves; Anseriformes; Anatidae.
AACCCUUACCCUAACCCUUACCCUAACCCUUACCCUAACCCUUACCCUAGCUACCACUGUUGCAGAGUCACAGAAUGGUUUGGGUUGGAAGGGACCUCAAAGAUGAGCUCCCCUGCCAGGGGCAGGAACACCUCCCACCCGACCAGGAUCCUCAAAGCCUCAUCCAGCCUGGCCUUAAACAUUUUGAGGGUUGGAGCAUUCACAGCUUCUGGGAAACCUGUUCCAGUGCCUCUAAGUAAAGAACUUCUUCCUGAUGUGUAAUCUAAGCUGGCUCUCUUUUGGUUUAAAGCUAUUCCCCCUUGUCCUAUCACUAUUCCCCCUGGGGAGUUCCUCCCCACCUUUCCUGUAGGCCCCUGUUAGGUACUGAGGGGCUGCUAUAAGGUAUCCCCACAGCUUUCUCUUCCCCAGGCUGAACAACCUUAACUCCCUAAUCCUGUCAGUGUAGGAGUGAGGCUCCAGCCCCUUGGUCAUCUUUUUGGCCCUUCUCUGGACUCAUUCUAGUAGGCCCAUGUCUUUCUUGUGCUGGGGGCCCCAGAGCUGACCACAGUGCUCCAGGUAGGGUCUCAAAAGCAGUAAGAUCUUGAAAUCAUUUUCUCCAGGCAGUAAGCAGUUUAAGUUUGCUCACACAGCAGCAGUACUGCUCACCACAGCUGAAAUAUACUCUCAAUCCUGGGUGCUUGUAAGAGGCAUGAAUGCCUUACGCCAAAUUCUAAACCAAGUGCAGGUGUGAGAUUGUGAUGCCUGUCCUGGCUUGUGCAGGUAGAAAGGGAAAGCCCAUUUCCCCUGUCCCCACCCUGAGGAAAAGCCUCUUCCCCUCCAGCCCCAAGCAGAAGGGAAAGACUGUUCCCCUCUGGCCCCAGCCAUGAGGAGAACUCCCAACCCCAAGGAAAAGCCCCUUCUCCUCCGGCCCCAACCCUGAGGAAAAGCCCCUUCUUCACGACUCUGAGGAAGAGGUCCUUACCCUCUGAGGCGCGGGGGCCCAGUGGGAGUCGCUGCCUGGGGUCAGCCUCCAGGUCCGGGGUCCUGGUGGGAGUCGCCACCUAGGGUCCACCGUGGACCCUGGGCCCUGGCGGGUUUCAUUUCCCGAGGGCCGCCACGGGGUUCGGGGGCCCGGCAGGAGUCAGAUUCCUGGGUCCAAUGCAGGGCCUGGUGGGAAUCACCACCUGGAGUUGGACACGGGGCCCAGGGGUCCAGCAGGUAUCACCGCCCCAGGUCUGCCACUCGUCACGGGGGCCCGUCGGGAGUCGCAGGACAUUAGUGGGUUUACGUGGCAAGGUUUUUGUAGCAGAGAGAUACUCUGUGAGAAGAAUAUAGAAGCUGCCCCACGUCAGGUCUGGGAAGGAAGCUUCGAAUCCAUGUAUGUAAUUUCACUGUAAACAGACAAGUUGAAGGAAGUACUCAAACUCCUCAACAUUAAACAGCUAUGGAACCCAGGAACACUACUUAACUGCUGGCUUCUGAAUUUGAGUCACUUCCAAACUGCUUCACAGUGAAGUCGUACCACCAGAUUUUUAUUGUACUGAGAAGGCACCACCAACGUAGCUAGCUCAUAGGGUCUCCAGAAGUAUUUCACAGAGAUGGUAGAAAACAUGAAGAAAAAGCAGCGUACUGGGGAACACUGAGUCCAUUUCACCACAAGAAAAAACACUCUACAUAACACAAGCCUCAGACUCCCCUUUGAUAGACCACUACCACCACCACCUCCUCCUCAUGCUGCCUAUGUAGCAAAAGUCAAAAUGAUCCACAUCUGUCAGAUUUCACUUAACAAGGGUGGAGCCAAGAGACAUUGUGGAAUAGGCUUGUAUACCUGGCUUCAGUGUUUUAAGGGCUAUUGCUCCUUAUCACUAAUAGAAAUAACUUGACAAGGGGCUUAGUGGUUAGAGUUGACCUAAUGAAUUAAUUGCAAAAGGUGCACAAGGGUCAUAUUUCUGUUAGUCAUUCUGUGAGGAAAAUUAGUACAGAGCCUGAUAAAUAAAUAAAUGAAUAAAAGAAAAAAGAAAAUGACC